GUCUCCGUAGCUCAGUAGGAUAGAGCGCGAGAUUCCUAAUCUCGAGGCCGGCGGUUCGACUCCGCCCGGAGACG
RNAcentral lists this transfer RNA (74 nucleotides) under Hydrogenobaculum acidophilum. RNAcentral's name for it is "tRNA-Arg". It matches the Rfam family "tRNA". From Rfam's summary of the family: Transfer RNA (tRNA) molecules are approximately 80 nucleotides in length. Lineage: Bacteria; Pseudomonadati; Aquificota; Aquificia; Aquificales; Aquificaceae. The record is from RNAcentral. RNAcentral also lists the same sequence under 6 other names.